GAUGAACGCUAGCUACAGGCUUAACACAUGCAAGUCGAGGGGCAGCAUUUCAGUUUGCUUGCAAACUGGAGAUGGCGACCGGCGCACGGGUGAGUAACACGUAUCCAACCUGCCGAUAACUCGGGGAUAGCCUUUCGAAAGAAAGAUUAAUACCCGAUGGCAUAAUUAGACCGCAUGGUCUUAUUAUUAAAGAAUUUCGGUUAUCGAUGGGGAUGCGUUCCAUUAGGCAGUUGGUGAGGUAACGGCUCACCAAACCUUCGAUGGAUAGGGGUUCUGAGAGGAAGGUCCCCCACAUUGGAACUGAGACACGGUCCAAACUCCUACGGGAGGCAGCAGUGAGGAAUAUUGGUCAAUGGGCGCAGGCCUGAACCAGCCAAGUAGCGUGAAGGAUGACUGCCCUAUGGGUUGUAAACUUCUUUUAUAUGGGAAUAAAGUUUUCCACGUGUGGAAUUUUGUAUGUACCAUAUGAAUAAGGAUCGGCUAACUCCGUGCCAGCAGCCGCGGUAAUACGGAGGAUCCGAGCGUUAUCCGGAUUUAUUGGGUUUAAAGGGAGCGUAGGUGGACAGUUAAGUCAGUUGUGAAAGUUUGCGGCUCAACCGUAAAAUUGCAGUUGAUACUGGCUGUCUUGAGUACAGUAGAGGUGGGCGGAAUUCGUGGUGUAGCGGUGAAAUGCUUAGAUAUCACGAAGAACUCCGAUUGCGAAGGCAGCUCACUGGACUGCAACUGACACUGAUGCUCGAAAGUGUGGGUAUCAAACAGGAUUAGAUACCCUGGUAGUCCACACAGUAAACGAUGAAUACUCGCUGUUUGCGAUAUACAGUAAGCGGCCAAGCGAAAGCAUUAAGUAUUCCACCUGGGGAGUACGCCGGCAACGGUGAAACUCAAAGGAAUUGACGGGGGCCCGCACAAGCGGAGGAACAUGUGGUUUAAUUCGAUGAUACGCGAGGAACCUUACCCGGGCUUAAAUUGCAUUUGAAUAUAUUGGAAACAGUAUAGCCGUAAGGCAAAUGUGAAGGUGCUGCAUGGUUGUCGUCAGCUCGUGCCGUGAGGUGUCGGCUUAAGUGCCAUAACGAGCGCAACCCUUAUCUUUAGCUACUAACAGGUCAUGCUGAGGACUCUAGAGAGACUGCCGUCGUAAGAUGUGAGGAAGGUGGGGAUGACGUCAAAUCAGCACGGCCCUUACGUCCGGGGCUACACACGUGUUACAAUGGGGGGUACAGAAGGCAGCUACCUGGUGACAGGAUGCUAAUCCCAAAAGCCUCUCUCAGUUCGGAUCGAAGUCUGCAACCCGACUUCGUGAAGCUGGAUUCGCUAGUAAUCGCGCAUCAGCCAUGGCGCGGUGAAUACGUUCCCGGGCCU
RNAcentral lists this ribosomal RNA (1359 nucleotides) under uncultured bacterium. RNAcentral's name for it is "bacterial SSU rRNA". It matches the Rfam family "Bacterial small subunit ribosomal RNA", at positions 28 to 1381 of the family's 1533-position model. The record is from RNAcentral.